Molecule: ribosomal RNA, 406 nt
Filed under: uncultured bacterium
Lineage: Bacteria
Description: partial 16S ribosomal RNA
Rfam family: Bacterial small subunit ribosomal RNA
Source: RNAcentral
AUUGAACGCUGGCGGCAGGCCUAACACAUGCAAGUCGAACGAGUGGCGGACGGGUGAGUAAUGUCUGGGAAACUGCCUGAUGGAGGGGGAUAACUACUGGAAACGGUAGCUAAUACCGCAUACUAUCGGAUGUGCCCAGAUGGGAUUAGCUUGUUGGUGGGGUAAAGGCUCACCAAGGCGACGAUCCCUAGCUGGUCUGAGAGGAUGAUCAGCCACACUGGGACUGAGACACGGUCCAGACUCCUACGGGAGGCAGCAGUGGGGAAUAUUGCACAAUGGGCGCAAGCCUGAUGCAGCCAUGCCGCGUGUAUGAAGAAGGCCGUCGGGUUGUAAAGUACUUUCAGCGGGGAGGCGUUACCCGCAGAAGAAGCACCGGCUAACUCCGUGCCAGCAGCCGCGGUAAUAC